Triticum dicoccoides is the source of this 787-nucleotide long non-coding RNA. RefSeq lists it as uncharacterized. The transcript is spliced from 2 exons. The record is from RefSeq and is a predicted model, not a curated record. NCBI's taxonomy places the organism in Eukaryota, Viridiplantae, Streptophyta, Magnoliopsida, Poales, Poaceae.
UCCACAGCCCACCAGCCCGAGAGGCCACAGCCUCGUGCCUCUCCACAUGACCACGCAAACCCUAAUCCGCCUCCACCCACAGCCGCCGCCUCCUCUCCCUCUCUACUCCCGAUUCAGAUCCAUGCCCAGCCUCCCUCGACGCGCGACUGCCACCCCCUUGAUCUCCCGCGCCGCCGCCCCAACCAUAUCCCGCUCCACCUCCGUCUCCCACCCUCUAUCGCUCCUCCACCGCCCCCACACUCUCCCCUAUGCAGCCUGCUCAGAUCCGCGAUGGGGGCACACGCGGCCGUAGCGGCGGUCCCGCAUCCGCGUCAAGGUCAGCCCCCUGUUCGUCGUCAUGGGCGCGGUGGUCAUGAGGAAGGUGGUUGAAGUCGGCGAGAUGGACGUUGUCGCCUACCCGCUGCCCAGGACCAAGGACGGCUGCCCCGACGCUCCGGUCUUCACAAUCUCGGUCUAGGAGAGGAGGGGUUGACCACUGUUUUAUUCAGCACUGCUUGGCCUUAUUCGCAUCGCCACAAGUGACCUCGCCGGACCACUUGCCAUGAAGGUAAUUGAGGUAGAACAGAAGAUAUUACACUUGAGUUUAGUUUAGAAGGGUAACUCCACUUGGGAUGGAACAGAUGAUACUACACUCAAGACAAGCAACACAGAUUAUAUGUAUGAUGUAUAUAAAUCUCCGUUGUGAUUGUGAUAUGUAAUUGUAAUCUGUUAUGGUGAUCUGAAUUUUGUAGUUGUGAAUCUGUAUUUGUGCACUAUAUGUUUUUCUUUGCUAAAUGGAGAUUCUUUA